Monodelphis domestica (gray short-tailed opossum) is the source of this 355-nucleotide long non-coding RNA. RefSeq lists it as uncharacterized. Lineage: Eukaryota; Metazoa; Chordata; Mammalia; Didelphimorphia; Didelphidae. The record is from RefSeq and is a predicted model, not a curated record.
CCUAUUCUUCCAGGGAAUGUCAUCUCAUGCUUGGGGUAAGCAUCUCUCCUAACUCACAGACAGGUUUGAGACAUGGAAGCAUCUUGCCCUCCUGGGUAAUAACUUCUCUUGCCUUAUAACUCUGAAGAUCUCAGUCAGCUUCCAUAUGAGCAGUGGAUUCCCUACCUUGUAAAUCUCUUCUGGGAUAGAAUCAGCACCAGGACUCAUGGAUUUUCGGAGGUUUAUGCACUAUCUAGAAACUGCCAGGAUCUUGAAGAGUCUGACGGAGUGUAGCUAAAUGGCAGAUGUGGUAUUAUUAAUUUUUAUUGUUAUUAUGCAUUUAUCCUAUACCAAAUAUAAAAGACUACACAGUUAA